GCUGGUUGAAAAUCAACUGCAGCUUCGCCCAUGGCCGCAGGUGAGAUUCAGUGCCCAGAGCCACCAGGGGCCUUAGCUCACUGCUCACUUGCCCACCGCCUUGGCGUGGGAGGUUGAAACCCAGGCCCUGAUAGGU
This is a small nucleolar RNA of Trichechus manatus latirostris (Florida manatee), 136 nucleotides long. RefSeq annotates it as small nucleolar RNA ACA64. The record is from RefSeq and is a predicted model, not a curated record. The transcript has a single exon. NCBI's taxonomy places the organism in Eukaryota, Metazoa, Chordata, Mammalia, Sirenia, Trichechidae.